GAGGUUAUUAAAUAUAUAUAAUUUUUUUCGUAGACAAAAAAAUUAUAGGUUAUAUCGAAAGGAAUCUCUGCCUAUGUCACACUCACAUGACAAUGAAAUAAACUGUUGAACAGAAACGGUUUCCUCUUUCAGUGGAACUUCAACACAAAGAAGAAAGAAUGGAACAGAUACAGCACUCAACAAUUACAACAAAUGGGAUAAUAAACAUGCACAUCGCCUCAAUCGGAACAGGUCCGCCAGUGCUCUUGCUUCACGGCUUCCCCGAGCUCUGGUUCUCGUGGCACCACCAGCUCCUCUCCCUCUCCUCCCUCGGUUACCGUGCUAUUGCUCCGGCUUCCUGCACUGCCCCAUACAUUGUGGGAGCUCUGGUGAGCCUUCUUGACCAUCUGGAUAUCGACCAGGUCUUCUUGGUGGGCCAGGACUGGGGAGCUGUGAUCGCUUGGUAUUUCAGCUUGUUCAGGCCCGACAGGGUCAAGGCCGUCAUUAACUCGGGCAUCGCUUACUUUUUUUUUUUUUUAGGUGAAUAUUGAGCAUCCCUUACUUGCCAAGGAACCCAGCAGUCAAAUUUGUUAAGGGCUUCAGGGCUCUGUUUGGCGAUGAUUACUGUUUCUGCAGGUUUCAGGAACCUGGAGAGGCUGAAAAAGAUUUUGCUUCUUAAGAUACAAGAAUACUGUUCAAGAAAUUCUUAACAACUUUUGGUCCAGUUCCUCUAUACAUAUCCAAAGAAUUAGAGUUCAGAGGUUUAAAAGCUCCAGAUGCUUUGCCCUCUUGGCUGUCGGAAGAUGACAUCGAUUACCAUGCCACCAAAUUCGACAAAACCGGCUUCACUGGAGGAUUGAACUAUUAUCGAUCGUGUGAUCUGUAUGCAUUUUCUUACAGCUAAUUUUACUGAAUAUGACAUAAGUUAUAGCUUAUCAUACAAUAUGGUUCUUUUUUCUUUUCUUUAUUUAUUUAUUUAUUUAUUUUUUGGUAUACAAUAUGUUAGGCAACAGUAAUACAGAGAAAUGGGGAUGACACAAAUCAAACUGCCGGUGAAGUUCAUCCUGGGGGAUCAAGAUCUCGCAUACAAUAUUUCGGGCAUCAAGUAAUAUAUCCAGUGAAGAAAAUAUCGAUGUCGAUAGAAAUAUGGAGGGUAUGAUUUUACUGAAAUGUCAAUGGAAACAUCAAUAUUCAUGGAAAUAUUGAUAAAGUUGUCGAAACUGUAAAUUUUUAAUUUAGAAUACAAAUUUUUAC
Ziziphus jujuba (common jujube) is the source of this 1233-nucleotide long non-coding RNA. RefSeq lists it as uncharacterized. The transcript has 3 exons. The record is from RefSeq and is a predicted model, not a curated record. Lineage: Eukaryota; Viridiplantae; Streptophyta; Magnoliopsida; Rosales; Rhamnaceae.